Synchiropus splendidus (mandarinfish) is the source of this 2457-nucleotide long non-coding RNA. RefSeq lists it as uncharacterized. The record is from RefSeq and is a predicted model, not a curated record. NCBI's taxonomy places the organism in Eukaryota, Metazoa, Chordata, Actinopteri, Syngnathiformes, Callionymidae. The transcript is spliced from 3 exons.
UUUUUACCUUUAGUUUAGGAAUAUUUUCGUAAUUUUUCUACCCGUCAUUUUUUUGUUUUCACAUGCAUAUGGCAUUUUUUUUUAAACUCUUUUUAACUUUUUUUAAGGCAGAAUGCCAUGGUGGUUGUUUAUAACCAUUAUAUGUCACUGAAGUAAAAUGAUUCAGAAAGUUAAUCACCCCAAAAUUGUAAUCCCUUAAAUGCCACUUUUGGCCUGUUUUAGUGGAUUAAAUCUAACUUUGAAAUCAUGGACAUUAAGGUCACAAUGAUUUUUUUUUCUUUUUCUUCAGCAGUUCUCCUUCAAUCACUGACUUAGUUUGUUCAUUUAAUUAUUAUCUGUAUUUUCGAGCCAUUUCCCAGCAGGUGUUGCCUCCCUCUUAACCGUCCUGUCUUCGUGUCCUGUUUUAUCACAUACAUGACGAUCAUUCUCUGCCCACGUGUAUGUUAAAACACAACAUAAAUCAUUGUAAUAGACCGACAUUCACGUGACAGAUGGAGAGUUACCGACAACCGUCUUCUUCGCUUCUCCUGUGUGAUGUGGGUGCUGUGUAACAAUACUGCCACCUGCUGUUUGACUGAGCUGAUGGCAAGGAAGGAUGUAAGAAUGGAAAUAACGAACAGAAAAAUUAACUCUAGAAAACAUAAUGGAAGCAUUUCAAAUAUAUUUUAGUAACAAAUGAAUUAUUUUCAUUUAUGUGAUGUUGAACUGCUGAAAAAGGGGGAUGCUGAAGUCGCGCGGCUGUUGACCGCGAGUCACUCCGAGCAAACAGAGCGCAAUAACCAGUGACUCAGACAGAAGAAUCUGGACGAGCUUGGCAAUCAUCCACACGUCCGAGUUGAGGGGACCGGCCGUCCUUUCCUCAUUGCCAUGGCGAAGGUCCGGGUGCGAGCUGUCCGUAUGUGUUCAUUUCCUGCUGUGAAGGCUCUCCUGGAACUUGGUACUUGAGUAGCGGAUGUGGAAGCCCUUCUUGCUGAUGGUGUCGUCGCUAUGGAAACGAAUCAGCAUAGCAUCUCCAGGCUUAUGUCUGAGGCUCCAAUUUUCCCACCAACGUCGGAAGAAGAUGAGAAAAACCAGGCUGCUAGAGGUUUCUGCGCGCCAUGUGUGAGUCUACGUGCAGCAGCACUCACUAGUUGGACUCAAUACUGUUUAUAUUUCGUUUAUAAAUACCAUUAGCACAAGACUAGGUGACAUAAAAGCAGCAAACGUUUAAUUAUUAAGGAGUGUGCGGCAGGUUGGGUGGAGGGACAGCAUUGCUGACUCAUGACUUCUCCGUCUCCGGAACAAUGACAAUUCUAAAACAAACAUUUGGCUCUCAGCACGACAGGAGAGUUUGUGCUGAGGCGGGAAUCCUGAGGAAGACUUCGGAAACUCAGUGGCAGAGGCACUCUGCCCGGGAAAAUCCUGUUUAAUAUAAUAUGAGUGAGACCGGUUGUUCUGCGGCUCGCGGACGCACUCUGACUGCCACAGUGUCAAACACACAACGGACACACAUCGCUCUAGUUUCCUUCUUGCUGUGGGUCGGGGGGAAGGGAUUACGGACGUUGAUGUUCACUGUCACGACAAGUCAGGCUUCAAAGCAUGGAGAUAGAAUGUCUAAUACUUAGUGAAGUAUAUACUGCGUGCAAAUAUUUCAAAGUAAUAAAAGGUAGUAACAGACAAGUGAACGAGAUUAAUUAUCAUAUUUCUAUCCUUGCCUGGACGCAACACGUCAGAAUUUAGUGGAGCUCUUCUUCCCUCCCUCGCCCCGGCUAGCCAGGAUCCAAUUCGUUUGAUCAGGCUGUCCAUAAGAAAUGAAAGAGGUCACCUUUGUGUCGAGGAGCAGACGAGCCUUGCUGAACAAAAACUGUUCUUUCCAUGCAGCUUUUUGCACUGAACUCAGUUUGAACCGAGCUUUUACGAGAGUAGUAGAGUGGGGAGAAAAUACUUACGUCCCCAAAGGACAUGGUGGUUGUCGGAACGUGACGGGCGGGGGCUUAAAAUGGCAGAGGCCACCACACGAUUAAAAUGGAUUGAUGAGUUGUAUCAAAGUUGUGGCAGCAUGACCCUAUUGGAAGAUGAAAACCUCCAUCUUAAAUGGAGAAUUGCUCUGUGAGGUGGAUGCAGAGGAACCAUGAUAAGAUUGGGAAGAUCGGUCAAUGAGUGAUGACCUGUUUCUGCUCCAGUCAUUGAGAUUCACUUUAAGAACAUGAAUGACCAUAGCUACUCAUAUUUUCUGAAGAGGAUCGCAGGGGAUUAAUUUGCUCCUGUUUUAGUAGCACAAAAUACGGCACGAUUAUUGUCAUAGCACAGAUAAAUGUAAACAUUUUCCGGUGACUUCACUUGUAACUGCUAAUAACCAAAACAAGUGCUUGUAUUAACUGUUUGUAUCCCCAUUGGAUAUGAAUUUUAAGAAACUUCCUCCACUAAUCUUUGAAACAAUGAUUUGGAUUUUCAGUGGAUAAAAUUGUGUGCACAUAC